This 73-nucleotide transfer RNA is filed under the name Bos taurus (domestic cattle). It matches the Rfam family "tRNA". Rfam says of the family: Transfer RNA (tRNA) molecules are approximately 80 nucleotides in length. RNAcentral also lists the same sequence under 2 other names. Lineage: Eukaryota; Metazoa; Chordata; Mammalia; Artiodactyla; Bovidae. The record is from Rfam by way of RNAcentral.
UCCCUGGCGGUCCAGUGGUUAGGACUCCACACUUUCACUGUUGAGGGCACAGGUUCAAUACCCGGUUGGGGAA